CAAUAGCGUAUAUUAAAGUUGUUGCGCCCAUUGGAUGUCUGCUGAGAACGACCGGUCCGCCCAUUGGGUGUGUAUCUGGCUCUUUCUUGGCAUCUUCUUGGCGAACGUUGCUGCACUUGACUGUGUGGAGCGCUACCCAGGACUUUUACUUUGAGGAAAUUAGAAUGUUUCAAGCAAGCAUACGCCUUGAAUGCAUUGGCAUGGAAUGAUAAGAUAGGACAUCGGUUCUAUUUUGUUGGUUUCUAGAGCUGAGGUAAUGAUUAAUGGGGAUAGUUGGGGGGCAUUCGUAUUUAACUGUCAGAGGUGAAAUUCUUGGAUUUGUUGAAGACGGACCACUGCGAAAGCAUUUGCCAAGGAUGUUUUCAUUG
RNAcentral lists this ribosomal RNA (368 nucleotides) under uncultured eukaryote. Its description in RNAcentral is "partial 18S ribosomal RNA". It matches the Rfam family "Eukaryotic small subunit ribosomal RNA", at positions 592 to 975 of the family's 1831-position model. The record is from RNAcentral.